This 327-nucleotide unclassified non-coding RNA is filed under the name soil metagenome. RNAcentral describes it as "partial contains 5.8S ribosomal RNA, internal transcribed spacer 2, and large subunit ribosomal RNA". The stretch from base 1 to 120 matches the Rfam family "5.8S ribosomal RNA", at positions 35 to 154 of the family's 154-position model. The record is from RNAcentral.
GAUGAAGAACGCAGCGAAUUGCGAUAUGUAAUGUGAAUUGCAGAAUUCAGUGAAUCAUCGAAUCUUUGAACGCACAUUGCGCCCCUUGGUAUUCCGAGGGGCAUGCCUGUUCGAGCGUCAUUUUGACCACUCCCGCUUGCGGGGUCUUGGGCCUUCGCCUCUGGGCGGGCCUUAAAAUCAGUGGCGGUGCCGUCCGGCUCUAAGCGUAGUAAAUCUCCUCGCUAUAGGGUUCCGGAGGGAUGCUGGCCAACAACCCCCAACUUUUAAGGUUGACCUCGGAUCAGGUAGGGAUACCCGCUGAACUUAAGCAUAUCAAUAAGCGGAGGA